RNAcentral lists this transfer RNA (60 nucleotides) under Bothropolys sp. SP-2004. Its description in RNAcentral is "tRNA-Gly". Lineage: Eukaryota; Metazoa; Arthropoda; Chilopoda; Lithobiomorpha; Ethopolyidae. The record is from RNAcentral.
AAAUUUUUAGUAUAAUCAGUACACUUGACUUCCAAUCAAAAAGUUCUAAAAGAAAUUUUA